Acinonyx jubatus (cheetah) is the source of this 3713-nucleotide RNA transcript. It is a transcript of the gene named Friend virus susceptibility protein 1-like, with no coding region annotated. Lineage: Eukaryota; Metazoa; Chordata; Mammalia; Carnivora; Felidae. The transcript is spliced from 6 exons. The record is from RefSeq and is a predicted model, not a curated record.
CGCCUGGAAUCUCUCCAACUGUCAUGGAACCUCCCCCCCAACCCCAGAUGCAGGCCAGACUGAAGCCCUGAGGCCUGCCUGUGGACAGCAGGAGAGACCAGAGAACACAGAAGAAGGGUCAGAGAGAUCCAAACCGCCAAGGGCCAAGCCUGAACCUGGGAGGGAGACCAACAGACUUCCAGGUGGCCAUGGAGGUGCCUGGAAAGAGGGGCUAAAAGCAGUUGGUGACUGUUUAGUGCAUCUGGGGACUGGUCUUACGCUGCAUCCCCACAUGUCCCAGAGGCCCCAGUCUGGACCCCAGAGCACCCAGCCAGGUUUCCUUCCAGGAGCUCCCAGUAAUACUCAAAAUGAGACCGAAGUCUCUCCACCAAUUACUUACAGGCCCCAGGUCAGAAUCCAAGACUCUCAGCCCAUUAUCAACAGUGGCCGGGUCAGCAUCCAAGAGCCCCCGCCCAUUAUCCAUAAUCGCCGGGUCAGCAUCCAAGAGCCCCCGCUCAUUAUCCAUAAUCGCCGGGCCAGCAUCCAAGGGCCCCCACCCAUUAUCAACAGUCACCGGGUCAGCAUCCAAGAACCCUUGUCCAUUAUCCACAAUCGCCGGGUCAGCAUCCAAGACCCUCCACUAGUCCACAGUCGCUGGGCCAGUAUCCAAGAUGCGCCACCCAUUAUCAACAGUUGCUGGGUCAGUACUGAGGACACGCCAUCCACUGUGAGCGGUCAUCGGCUCAGCAUCCAAGAUACACCGUCAGUUGCCUACAGUCACCGUUUGAAGACCCAAGAUGUUCCACCAAUUCUCCAAACUCGCCACUUCAGCAUCCAAAACUCUCUAUUACUUCCUCACGUCUCCCUGAACAAUGUAGAGUCCCUUAACUACAAUAGUAGUCAAGUCCGUAGCCAAGACCACCUUCCAACAAGUCAGAGUCCUUGUUUGAGUACUCAAUGCCUCACAUUGCCAAUCCGGGCCAAAGUCGAUGUCCCCCCUUCAAUUACUCACAGCCCCACGGCCAGCGUCAAAAGCACUGAUUCAAUCAUCUGGACCACCCAGGAGAGUUUCAAAGACUCUAUGGACAGCUCCCUAUACAACCCAAGUGCUCUAGACAACAAUAUCCAGAGCAUACAAUCAAGCAGAUCUGCUGAGAUGGAUUCUGGCGGGUGUCAGAGAAGGAGUAAAUGCAGCUAUUCACAGCUGCCCAUGGGCUGGCGGCUGCUGCAUGGAGCCAAGAAGAUCAGCCGUCAGGUGAGCCUGGCACUGAGCCUGGCUGGCAUGGUGAUCAUCGGUCUCAUCACCCUGGGCCAGCCCUGGAUCCACUUCCAGGUUCCAUUGACACCCCCUGGGGAUCCUGAUGGCCCCUUGACCAUCCCCAUCAACACCAUCUUCUUUGUGCAGUGCCCUGACAUCUCCUGCCUUCAUGAGUACGACCAGAAUGCUUAUUUGUUGGACUUUGCCUGGGCCUUUCUCAUCCUCACCAGUAUUGCCGGCUUCUGCCUCUGCAUCAUGCUCAUAAACAUCAUCUUCUUCACCAGCUCCAACUUACCUGUGCUGGACUUCUCCAACGUCAUCAUCAGCAUCCUGACAGGGGCCAGCAUGAUACUGGGCAUCCUGUUCUACCUGAUGCAGGCCCAUGAGUACCUGCAGGAAGGCAUGACCUACACUCUGGGGCUCAGCUUCUACCUGGCGUGGACCGGCAUCUUUCUCUUCCUGAUGAGUGGUUUCCUUUCCUAUCUGAACUGCAUGAACUUCUGGCCCAUCCUGGUGCUCCAGGCCAUCUGGACUUGAUGGCGCUCCAGGACGCAGGAAUGACCCCACCGCUGGCCUGCUCCCACAGCUCCCUGCCAAGCACUUGACAACCCUACUCUCUAGUCCCCCACCCCCACUGAGAGUCUUGCCCUUUUCGGUCCCCUCUUAAUCCCCCCACUCAGAUUAAUAAUUUAAAUAAUCUGUACCUUUUGCCCAGAAUAUUCUCGUAGCUCAGUACCUUCUAAGUGUUCUGUGGAAAUGCCAACUCUCACGGGGGCCAUCCCUUGGGCCCUCUGGGGUAGAGGGACAGGUGAGGGAAGCGAUUCAGAGGAAAGAGAGGCAAGGCACAAGGUCAACAAAGAGGCUGUGCCAAUGGUUCCUGGCAUACAUACAAAUGGUGUCAAUCAAUAUUUGUUGAAUAGCUGAUUCUCUCCAAGCCCUUAGGGCUUCAUCUUUUACUUCCCAGACCCCCAAUAAUGUGCCCCUCCUGAGGUAAAUUCUCCCUGCACCCACACCUCACCUCCUGCCCUUACCAGCAGCCCCUGUCAUCACUUCCUCUUUCUUCUCGCCAAACUCCUCCAACACAGGGCUGUUCUUUUUAAAAAUUGUCUAUCUAUCUAUCCAUCCAUCCAUCCAUCCAUCCAUCCAUCCAUCCAUUUUUAAGGCUGUUCCAUGUAGCAUAUUUUUGCUAUCAGAGUCAUUUGUUGAACAGGGCACGGUUGAAACUCAAGUACAAAUUUAUCUCACUACCUGGGUCCCCCUACAGGCCCUUGACCUGGGGGGGUCCCCUCUACCUCCCUUUCACACAGUGGUUAAGCUGGAAGGAUUGAGUCUAGGCUCUGCCACCUACUAGCUCCGUGACCUGUGUCCAGGCAUUGACCCGUCUGGGUCUCAGUUUCCUCAUCUGUAAAAUGGGGGUAAUGAUAGUACUUCAAUCUAGAUAGAGCUUAACAUAACACCUAGUCUGUGCUCUUUAAGGGUUGCUAAAAUAAUCCGCUUCUCUCCCACAAAAGGCUCUCAAAUUUGUUCAUCUUUAAUGAAAAUAAGCUGCAACUAUAUGCCAGAGACUGGAUCUAUAGCAGUGAUCAAACUAGACACACAUCCUUGUUUUUAUGGCUUCACAUUUCCGCAGGGAGGCAAAACAGAUAUGUUAGGGACUAUAAGCUUCGUGGGAGGUGUCUCCUCACCGGAAGAAGACAACCCAAAUGACCAGCUAAACAAUGUGUGUUCCACUCACAGAAGGGAAUAUUUGGCCCCCGUUUAAGGAAUGAGGUCACUCUGUACUGAUCCGGGGGAGACUAUUUAGGGGACAAACUGGAAUGAAAAAAAAAAAUCGCUACCCAUAACAUGUGUGCGUAUACAGCCAUAAAAUAAAAAGUCCACACCACACUGUUGACAGUGGCGACUCUGGUGAGUGGGUUUGAAGUAGAGGAGUUUCCUUUUUUAUCUCUGAAAAGAAUGUUUCCAAUCAAGUCAGCUGAAAGACACUCCUUAGAGCUUGAACCCUCCCUACCAAGAAUCCAAGCCCCCAGGUCUUAAACCAUCUAAACUGGGGGGUGGAGGGAGCACUUCCGGCCCUCACACAGCCCAGGAGUCCUGGCCCCCAUCCUCCUCCUCCCUUAGAUCCAGAAGCCCAGCCUUUCGCCCGGGCGUCCAGGCACCGACCCCUCCUCUUGCUGCGCGGAACGAGCCUCUCAUUCUGCGCCACGCUAGCGCUACCCCAGAACGCCCCCGGUCGAUCUCGGCACUGGCCCCGCCUCCCAUUCCUGCCUGCGGACUCAGUCUGGGUCGGCCCCGCCCCUUCCAGCCAAAGCUCGCGCCACUGCCGCGCUGGCAAUUCCAGGGGCCUCCCUUUCUGGCUCUGUCCCGGCUCGGGGUCCUUCCCCUUUGCCGCCCGCCUUUGGUGCUGUCCUCAGAGUUGCCUGACGCUCAUGAGAGGACAACGGGCCCUGAUAUUCCCCUGCUUUUUUUUUCUCCG